AAUGAACGUUGGCGGCGUGGAUUAGGCAUGCAAGUCGAACGGGUUUGGUAGCAAUACUGAACCAGUGGCGUAAGGGUGAGUAAGGCGACGGCAACCAACCCCGAGGUUGGGCAUAGCCGCGGGAAACUGCGGGUAAUUCCCAGCGAUGUUUAGACCGGGCAUCCGGUUUUAACCAAAGUUCUGGCGCCUUGGGACGGGCCGUCGUGGUAUUAGGUAGUUGGCGGGGUAAUGGCCCACCAAGCCUCUGAUGCCUACCGGGCGUGCGAGCGUGGCCCGGCACACUGGGACUGAGACACUGCCCAGACUCCUACGGGAGGCUGCAGUCGAGAAUCUUCGGCAAUGGGCGCAAGCCUGACCGAGCGACGCCGCGUGGAGGAUGAAGGCCUUCGGGUUGUAAACUCCUGUCGAGGGGGAGGAAGGCGCAAGCUUGACCUAUCCCUGGAGGAAGCACGGGCUAAGUUCGUGCCAGCAGCCGCGGUAACAC
Molecule: ribosomal RNA, 484 nt
Filed under: uncultured bacterium
Lineage: Bacteria
Description: bacterial SSU rRNA
Rfam family: Bacterial small subunit ribosomal RNA
Source: RNAcentral